AAGAAAUAUAGGAAGUAAUUAUUUAGGAAUUUUUACUGAUUGGGGAUUCCUAAUUAGUGUUUGCUUUGUAUUUUUCUUAUUUAGGGUUCCAAAUCCUAACACUAAUAGGAUAAAUAAUUCUACUAUAAAUACCUUAGUUCUCUAGGUAUUUUGGUGGACUUUUUCUAUGAUUGAUGAUUAAUUUGAAAAUUAAUAAAUCUGAGAAUUUAUUUCUCUUGAGAAUUGGUUUCUUAUACUCUAUUGGUUUCAUGUUAGACUCCUUUGACUAUUUCCAGGGCACAGAAUUUGUCAUUAACGUGAACUCCUACUGUUUGGUUGGUUUUCUCUUGCUAGUUUCUAGUUAAUAAUUCAGUCCAAUCCAAAGAAAAUAAGCAUACAAAAUGCCUUCUUUUGAAAAUAUAUUUAGUGAUAGAUGUAGCACAUACCUAGACUGAAAAAUAAUAUGGUUUUGCAAAAUAUCUUCAUCUAACAUAAAGAGCUAAUAAAUCACACAGUAGGAAAUAAAUUGAAACAUAACAUGGGACACAAACCUUUAUCAAAGGAACAAGAGGAA
This 553-nucleotide unclassified non-coding RNA is filed under the name Hevea brasiliensis (rubber tree). Lineage: Eukaryota; Viridiplantae; Streptophyta; Magnoliopsida; Malpighiales; Euphorbiaceae. The record is from RNAcentral.